Molecule: long non-coding RNA, 252 nt
Filed under: Elaeis guineensis (African oil palm)
Lineage: Eukaryota; Viridiplantae; Streptophyta; Magnoliopsida; Arecales; Arecaceae
Description: long non-coding RNA (EGUI_LNC008152)
Source: RNAcentral
CCAUGCCCACUUUACUUCGUUUAAUCUUGUGAGUCCCCCUCAUAAUUCUCCUCUUCACGACAACUCCUCUCUCUCUUCUAAUAGCCAUGAGUCUCACUCCCUUUCUUUCUAUUUCUAUUUUUUUUUAUUCAUUAGAUCUCUACCAUGCAUCUACAUAUCUUCGUGUAUCAUGCACAUAACAGAUUUGAAUUUGGAUUCGAACUUCAUCUGCAUGUGUUGAAGGGUUGUUACUUGUUGGUUUGCAAUUAAAUC